Molecule: long non-coding RNA, 4740 nt
Organism: Amphiprion ocellaris (clown anemonefish)
Lineage: Eukaryota; Metazoa; Chordata; Actinopteri; Pomacentridae
Exons: 5
Source: RefSeq, a predicted model, not a curated record
CGAUCCUCCAAUCCUCAGAGGCUGGAAUGAAAACACGCUGCAGGAUCCGGACUGACUGGACGACCAGAUCCAUUCUGCAAUCAAGUGGAUUCAGAACAAAACAGCAGCAGCACAUCCUGUUUCCAUCAUAGACCCGCCUGUAAUCAGGUACGUUAGUUUGUUUUAACCAUUAAAAAAAAUUUAGAGUUAACUUCCAAACUUUCUAUAAAUGUUUGGAAACUCGACUCUCCAAAACAGCUCCUGAAAACUCUCCAUCAGUUUGAAAUGGUUUUAACUUUGCAACGAUCACUGAAGAUUUUGCUUGCUAUAGAAGUAGUUGGUUAAAUAUUCAUCCUUUAGAUCUUUUUUGUAGAAUUUCAAUAAUAAGAAACACUUUGACCAAAGCCUGAUUUAUUUAGUACGACUGGAGAGUUAGGGAUGAAAAAAAUCAACAAAUAGAUGUAAAGUUUCAGGUUCUUGCAGAGAAAAUGUUGGACAUAAAGUCUGUGUUUAUGCAAAUUUAAAAAGGCUGCAUGUCAGGAAAAAAAAACACAUAUUAAAGUAAAAUGUGAACCUGUGAGUGUUGAAACAUUUUCAGUUCAAAUUAAUCAAAUUUAAACCCCCAACUGCACCUAAUCUAAAGAACACAUGUAAGAUAUGAAGGACCGUUUGAUUCUACAUGAAACGUUUAAACACAAACACUCGUUCUUUAGCUGCAGUUAUUUAUUUACUUUUAUUUUCUGAGAUUGUCUUGAACUGAUUGUUGUAUAAAAAUAACAACUUCAGCAUAAAGUUUGAGCUCAGUGAAAGAAAAGAGCAAGUGGACAUUUAGUUUUGGUUGUUCGAUUGAAUCUUUUCAGUCAUUUUUGAGGUUUAACUUUAUGAUUUUACUCCUUUUUUGUGUAAAACAAUCCAAACAUCCGAGUCGAGUAUAAUAGAUUUUGAACAUGAUUUUACAUAUUUCCGUUAAGAUCAGCAUUUGAAACGGUUGUGACCAUCAACUGAAGACCAAAAUACAUUUAAUUUUGUCAGAAAAUAAUACAUUUUUGGAAGUUAACCAUGAAUACCUUAUUUAUUAUGUGUCAUUUAUUUAUGAUGUAUUUUGUUAAUAUCAUGUGUUCUGUUUUAUUGUGUUGCAGUGCAGCUCGAUGUCUUGCCUUGUCUAAGACAAAUGUCUCCCAUGGGAGACAAAUAAAGUGAACUUUGAACUAAACAUGCAUCCUCUCUUCCAGGAACAUCUGUCCUCGUUCCUCAGUGUGAAAAAAGCUCCCUGUUGGUCAACCUUUAUCACAGUAAAACUAAAGUCUCACUUCACUCAAACAUGCAUUUUCCAGACUUAUCUCUGGUUUUAGAGGUGCUUUAUGCAGGAUUUACUUUUACAUUUCAUCCACUAAUUGGAGGAAAGUCUUUGUCAUUUGAAAUUAACACGUUUAAGGAUUGUUAACUUUUUCUCUUUUGCUUUUUUGUUCUAAAAAAGCUCAGAACAUACAUAUGACAUACUGCUGGAUCCAGUUUUUUCACAAAAUACCAAAAGAAGACCGUAAAUAAGUACAUUAAUCCCCCUGAAAAGAAGACAUCUUUACAGCCUAAACUCUGGAACAAACUGAUCCUUUCUUGCAUCUAAUUCUUGCUUCUUGUUUUUGUUUUGUCUUAGUGGCCUUUUUGGAUGACUUUCCAACUUUAUUCCCAGUAGAACACAGUGAAGAUGAGAGGCCACACGUGUGAACAACACAAAUAAAACCACAACAAUCUUCUGUGAUAUGGCCUUUUUUCCAGUAGAACACAGCAGUGAGGAGUAAACAACACAAAUAAAACCACAAUAAUCCACCAUGAUCAAUGUUGGCCAGCCAGAAAGCUGAAGGAGUCUGGAACCUUCACAAACCCUGGUUUAAGAUCUUAACUGAACGUCUGUUGACUAUCUUUCCUGAACAAACCACAGAAGGGACAUGAAAACUGUGAAAACGAAGUCAUUGAAGAUGCACGAGAUGUUUUCUACCUGGAGGAGGAAUCAGAACAGAGGCUGGUCUUCUGGGUGACGGAGAUGCCCUCAGAACCUGUAGAAGCAGCUGUUGUUUGUUUUCUAAAUGACUUUGGAUCUUUUUUUUCUGUCAGAUAAAACAAUAAUGUCCUUACUUUUUUCCCCUUUUAGUGCCAGGCGCUGACUCUUCAAUCUCACCGGGAGAUUCUGGAUUCAAUUUGGAAUUUAACUCCUACCUGCAAUGUUCCCUGUAAUUUUUCAGUCUGAGUGUGAGCAAACACACAAACUCCCUGAGCGUUCCUUGGACCACUGUGAGCAACAUCAGACGUGUGCACUGUGGUCACACCAGCAUCACAUCCAUUCAAGUUACAUGGUUCAUUAAAAGAAUCAAAUUACAGCAUUUACAUUUCUGUUAAAACACUUUGACAACAGGAGCCAGUUGAAGGCUGCAGUGAUUUUAGUGACACUACAAUGUAUAAGAGUGAAGUUAUUGAAUAUUUGUCUCUCUUUACUGUUGCAGCGGUUUUGCAAAUUGCAGACGGACCCUGUUCAUUCCAUAGACACCAAUGUUAUUCCUGUAGCUUGAAAGACAGCUACUUUUGAUAAAACUGGGCUUGUAGCACAUUGUCUGCCUUGCAACAAUGGGAAAGAGGCACCGUUUAUGUUUUGACAACCUAUAUCUAAUGAGUUAUUGAUGCUGGAAGUCUGAAUCUGUGAAUAUCUUUCCAACUUUACUGAACUUGGGGCCACUACCACCUAAGGAGUGAUAUAUUUAAUUUUGAAAAAAGCAUUUAGCCAUACUUAAAGCUUUAAGUGCUUUAUUAACACGGAACUAAAAAUUUUGUAUUGUUUUAUUAUCACAGGUUCUGUCUGAAAAGAGGUGGCAUCAUUUUAAACAGUGAAAUCAAACUAACAAAAUGUAACAACCAACCAGUGAGCAAUACUGGAUUCUGCAAAAACAUAAACAACUUUUUUUAAAAUCUAAAUCUUAUCUUAACACAGUUAAUGUAUUAACUUAUUUUUGUGUGUAUGCAUGUAUUUAUUGAUUUAUUUAGUACUGUUAACAUAUCAGAGUUCUGAGUGAAUUUUUCUUAAGAUAGGCAAAGGCCAUUUAUUGAUUACAUAUAGGCUGUUAAAUGUUUAUUAAAAACUAAAAAGCAUUUAAAAAAAACAACUUAGGCAUUUAUUGAGUCUCUAAAAUACUGUAGAGUACAGACCACAUCAGCAUGAUUAUAAGCAUCCUCUGGUAAAUGAACAACCAGAUACUGAUGUCUCUCACCAUAUGGACUUCAGGAGAUGAUUAGAUGAUGAUAAACUGUGACCUACUGGUUGGGUUCUCUCUGUUCUCAUGUUUCUUACAUGUUUGUCCCCUGACAGCCGGGUCCUAAUGUUUUUUGAGCAACACACCAUACUAUGACGUUUUUACAAUGAUGGUUCUACUAUGGAACCAGUUUGACAUGUUCAGGUGUUCUUUGUGUGAAAACUUAGAGAUUUCAGGGAUCAGAAGGUGGUUUUCAACUUUCUUUGUUAACUUUCUGCUUCAACUUUAAACUAAAUUUCCUUGACUAAGCCAGCCCUCUGGACUUCCAGGAAGCUGUGUUCCUAUUGGCUGUCCAGGUGGCUGCUUGGUGUUAUCAGGAACACCUGAGCAGCUCAGUGUCUUCCUGCUUUAUUUAGCUGCAGACAAACAUUUCCUCUGCUUCUCUUCACCAGUGAACUGGGUUUGGUUCCGUUGCUUCAGUUUGUUCUUUAGGCGUUGGCUUGCAGCUUCCAGCAGUAAAAUCGUCUUUAAUGUGUUUCUUGGUGUGUUUUAGGGCUUUGUACUGGAUAGUUGUCUUGGUAAAUGUGGUUCUUUAGCCACAGUUAGCACAUGGUGAUAAUGUUUGCAGUGAUUAAUGGAUUUGGUGCAGCUGAGUUGUGUCUUUAUCUUGGCUGUAGUGAGUCUUCAGAGGUUUCUGGUCAGACACAUUCUGUAUUCUUGUUUGAGAACCAGCGUUGGUUGUCCAGAAGGUAAGAGUUCCUGUCCUGAUUCUCUGUUCUCAGAGGUUCUCUGGUAGGCUGCAGGAGACUUUAGCGUUUGGGUUGUGCUAGUUUGGUUUUUGUAUGGUUUCAUUUGGACGACUAUCUUGAGGCCCCUCCAUGUGGUUUAGUGAGGUUUUCUGGAACAGUUCUACAAAGCAACCUGCAGCAGAAGAGACUUUGAGAGUUUUUAGGAAGUUCUGGAGACCAGACUUUAGAGCAGCAGAAACAUUUGUCAGCAGUUUGAGCAGGAGAAGGUGAGCUUCAGAGUAGAAAUGAGACAGAAACCUUCUUGACCCGUGUGGUGAGGUCCUGUACCAAGAGUUUGAGCAGGUUGUUUAGAGUCUGUAGUUCUUUGGUCUGAAAGCACAAGAAGAGUCGACUCAUUAAAGGAGAAAACAGGAGAUAUUGUUGGUUCUUCUGUCGCUCUGCAGUUUCCUUAGACUGAAUAUCAAGUUUAUAUUUUAAAUGAUUUCCCAUGUGAGCCCAAGAAGACUUCAAUAAACUCCCUCCAUCCCCUGGACACAACAUAUUUUAUUACCAUAUUAAAUCUUUUUUUCCUUUAAUGUGUUUGAGUUUUAAUCAUAGUUUUAGCAUAGUUUUUUCUCUUUGCUUGUUUAGUUUUGUCAUCUGUGUAAAAGGUGCUAAACAAAUAAAGUUGAAUUGAUAAACUGAAUAAUUGACUAACUCAUGAUUGUGACAACAGAAGUAUUUUCAUUGUGAUUUAAGGGUUUAUUUCAUUUUUAAGGUUGGGGUUAAAAUCU